CGCGAAUGGCUCAUUACAACAGCUAUAAUUUACUUGAUCUUGACACAAUCCUACUUGGAUAACUGUGGUAAUUCUAGAGCUAAUACAUGCAUUAAAGCUCUGACCUCACGGGAAGAGUGCAUUUAUUAGAACAAAACCAAGCGGCUUCGGCUGUUUCUGGUUGACCCAUAGUAACUGAGCUGAUCGCAUGGUCUUGCACCGGCGACGUGUCUUUCAAGUAUCUGCCGUAUCAACUUUCGAUGGUAGUGUAUCUGACUACCAUGGUGAUCACGCGUAACGGAGAAUAAGGGUUCGACUCCGGAGAGUUCGCCUGAGAAAUCGCGAACACAUCUAAGGAAGGCAGCAGGCGCGAAAAUUACCCACUCUCAGCACGAGGAGGUAGUGACGAAAAAUAACGAGACCGUUCUCUUUCGAGGCCGGUCAUCGGAAUGGGUACAAUUUAAACCCUUUAACGAGUAUCUAUGAGAGGGCAAGUCUGGUGCCAGCAGCCGCGGUAAUUCCAGCU
Molecule: ribosomal RNA, 505 nt
Filed under: Cephalobus persegnis
Lineage: Eukaryota; Metazoa; Nematoda; Chromadorea; Rhabditida; Cephalobidae
Description: SSU rRNA
Rfam family: Eukaryotic small subunit ribosomal RNA
Source: RNAcentral